RNAcentral lists this long non-coding RNA (684 nucleotides) under Marmota monax (woodchuck). Lineage: Eukaryota; Metazoa; Chordata; Mammalia; Rodentia; Sciuridae. The record is from RNAcentral.
CAGAGUCUUGCUAAGUUGCUUAGGGCUCACUGAGUUGCUGAGGACUGGCCUUGAACUUGUGAUACUCCUGCCUCAGCUUUCUAGAUGGUUGGAAUUACAGGCCUGUGCCACUGCCUCUAGCUCUGGUAUCUGAAAUUUGUGUCAGGAUUUUGUUAUGUAAGUUGACAGAAUCAUAGUUUGCAGUUCACAUUCCCUCCCCUCCCCACAGGUUGAGUUGAUAUCAUGUGGUUCAAAGGUUGGUCUUUGUGGCAGUUUCCAUCCGAAGUCAUCUUGUUAGCAGUAAACUAUCCAGAGACCCACCUUGAGUCACUUUAUUAACGUAAGCUGUCCAGUGUGAGAGGUCCACCAUGAAUAGCAAACACACUCCUGUCUCAAGGAAAAUUCUUCCCAGGAACCAGGACAUAAACCAGCCAAAUUCUUCAUUAUACAAUACUAUAACAAAUAUAUACUAUUAUUUAUCCAGGAUUCAUGAGUAUUUAUUUUUUAGAGAAAUAACAAAUUAGGGAUAAAAUUUAGGUCCUAGCUGGGCACAGUGGUGCACACCCAGGUACUCUAGAGGCUGUGGAAGGAGGAUUGCAGAUUUUGAAGCCAACCUGGGCAACUUAACCAGACCUUCUCAAAAAUAAUAUAGAAAGGGCUAGGGAUGUCACUCAAUACUGCUGGGGAUGUCCCCUAAUUGGUAGA